CAGCCCUAAACGAUGCGCGUUAGGUGUAUCGGUGACCACGAGUCACCGAGGUGCCGAAGGGAAACCGUGAAACGUGCCGCCUGGGAAGUACGGUCGCAAGGCCGAAACUUAAAGGAAUUGGCGGGGGAGCACCACAACGGGUGGAGCCUGCGGUUUAAUUGGACUCAACGCCGGGAAGCUCACCGGAUAAGACAGCGGAAUGAUUGCCGGGCUGAAGACCCUGCAUGACCAGCUGAGAGGAGGUGCAUGGCGUAGUCGUGU
Molecule: ribosomal RNA, 261 nt
Filed under: uncultured archaeon
Lineage: Archaea
Description: partial 16S ribosomal RNA
Rfam family: Archaeal small subunit ribosomal RNA
Source: RNAcentral